CCCCGCUCAGGGUCACACCUGGAGAGUUUCCAGGACUCUACCAGUCUCGACUACGGGAGGGAGAGUCAAGCAGAGGCCUGUCCAUUCCAUUCCUAGCUCGGGCAGUGGCUAGCGAGUGGAAGGCCAUCUGCUACAAGU
Molecule: small nucleolar RNA, 138 nt
Filed under: Ornithorhynchus anatinus (platypus)
Lineage: Eukaryota; Metazoa; Chordata; Mammalia; Monotremata; Ornithorhynchidae
Source: RNAcentral